Molecule: ribosomal RNA, 253 nt
Filed under: uncultured bacterium
Lineage: Bacteria
Description: partial 16S ribosomal RNA
Rfam family: Bacterial small subunit ribosomal RNA
Source: RNAcentral
UACGAAGGGGGCUAGCGUUGUUCGGAAUUACUGGGCGUAAAGCGCGCGCAGGCGGUCCUUUAAGUCGGGGGUGAAAGCCCAGAGCUCAACUCUGGAACUGCCUUCGAAACUAGAGGACUUGGGUACGGGAGAGGUGAGUGGAAUUCCGAGUGUAGAGGUGAAAUUCGUAGAUAUUCGGAAGAACACCAGUGGCGAAGGCGGCUCACUGGUCCGGUUCUGACGCUGAGGUGCGAAAGCGUGGGGAGCAAACAGG